RNAcentral lists this ribosomal RNA (165 nucleotides) under Calycolpus moritzianus. RNAcentral describes it as "partial 28S ribosomal RNA". It matches the Rfam family "Eukaryotic large subunit ribosomal RNA", at positions 1 to 163 of the family's 3401-position model. Lineage: Eukaryota; Viridiplantae; Streptophyta; Magnoliopsida; Myrtales; Myrtaceae. The record is from RNAcentral.
CGCGACCCCAGGUCAAGCGGGGCUACCCGCUGAGUUUAAGCAUAUCAAUAAGCGGAGGAAAAGAAACUAACAAGGAUUCCCCUAGUAACGGCGAGCGAACCGGGAAGAGCCCAGCAUGAGAAUCGAGCGCCCUCGGCGUUCGAAUUGUAGUCUGGAGAAGCGUCA